AGUGAACGCUGGCGGUAGGCCUAACACAUGCAAGUCGAACGGCAGCACAGGAGAGCUUGCUCUCUGGGUGGCGAGUGGCGGACGGGUGAGGAAUACAUCGGACUCUACUCUGUCGUGGGGGAUAACGUAGGGAAACUUACGCUAAUACCGCAUACGACCUACGGGUGAAAGCAGGGGAUCUUCGGACCUUGCGCGAGUGAAUGAGCCGAAGUCGGAUUAGCGAGUUGGCGGGGUAAAGGCCCACCAAGGCGAGGAUCCGUAGCUGGUGUGAGAGGAUGAUCAGCCACACUGGAACUGAGACACGGUCCAGACUCCUACGGGAGGCAGCAGUGGGGAAUAUUGGACAAUGGGCGCAAGCCUGAUCCAGCCAUAUCGCGUGGGUGAAGAAGGCCUUCGGGUUGUAAAGCCCUUUUGUUGGGAAAGAAAUCCAGCUGGCUAAUACCCGGUUGGGAUGACGGUACCCAAAGAAUAAGCACCGGCUAACUUCGUGCCAGCAGCCGCCGCCG
This 506-nucleotide ribosomal RNA is filed under the name uncultured bacterium. RNAcentral describes it as "partial 16S ribosomal RNA". It matches the Rfam family "Bacterial small subunit ribosomal RNA", at positions 29 to 523 of the family's 1533-position model. The record is from RNAcentral.